GGCAACGUGGCGGAGUGGUUAUCGCGCUAGCCUAGAACUACAUACAAUAUAGCUAGUUCCCUCGGGAGCGUCAGUUCGAGUCUGGCCGUUGUCG
RNAcentral lists this transfer RNA (94 nucleotides) under Blumeria graminis f. sp. tritici. It matches the Rfam family "tRNA". From Rfam's summary of the family: Transfer RNA (tRNA) molecules are approximately 80 nucleotides in length. Lineage: Eukaryota; Fungi; Ascomycota; Leotiomycetes; Helotiales; Erysiphaceae. The record is from Rfam by way of RNAcentral. RNAcentral also lists the same sequence under 1 other name.